Molecule: long non-coding RNA, 566 nt
Organism: Amblyraja radiata (thorny skate)
Lineage: Eukaryota; Metazoa; Chordata; Chondrichthyes; Rajiformes; Rajidae
Exons: 3
Source: RefSeq, a predicted model, not a curated record
UGAACAACACUCAGCUAAGGAUUGAUAAUGGAGGAAAUACUGAAGCAAGUUUCUAGUUGAUGAUUGAGGGCUGAAUGAAUUUUAAUAUUUUCACUAAAUUUGAAAGAAGGUGGGAGGGCAGGUAGAAGAGUAAUGGAGAGGCAAGAUGGGGAAAUAACUGGACUGGGGAAUUGGGAUGAGGGAAUAAAGCAGGAUGAGGGACAAAAGCAGGGAAUGGGGGUAAAUAUAAGGGAGGAAUUGGCAUUUUCAAUGAGAAUAUUGGGAAGGAUGAGAGGGCUGCAAGAGGGAUUGAGGGGCAGGAGAGGAUGUACUGUAAAGGUAUGCAAAUGAGAGGAGUUUUUUUUAACAUAACUAAUGAACCUAUAAGCCUAAAUUGUUGUCAAAUAAAUCUUUGUAAUCUGUUGUUAGCCAUUAUUGGUCUAAAGUACAUUAACUAAGUUUACUAUUGCUCAAUUGAACUGUGUGCAUUAAAUAAGAAACUAUGGUAGAAUUCUAUUUGGAAAUGGUUAGUUUUAGUCUGUAGUUGAGUAGAAGGCUAUUGGAAACAGCCAGGAUAACGGAGCGGA